CAACGCCGCGUGAGGGACGAAGGCCUCUGGGCUGUAAACCUCUUUUCUCAAGGAAGAAGACAUGACGGUACUUGAGGAAUAAGCCACGGCUAAUUCCGUGCCAGCAGCCGCGGUAAUACGGGAGUGGCAAGCGUUAUCCGGAAUUAUUGGGCGUAAAGCGUCCGCAGGCGGCCUUGAAAGUCUGUUGUUAAAGCGUGGAGCUCAACUCCAUUUCAGCAAUGGAAACUACAAGGCUAGAGUGUGGUAGGGGCAGAGGGAAUUCCCGGUGUANCGGUGAAAUGCGUAGAUAU
This 290-nucleotide ribosomal RNA is filed under the name uncultured bacterium. RNAcentral's name for it is "partial 16S ribosomal RNA". It matches the Rfam family "Bacterial small subunit ribosomal RNA", at positions 392 to 697 of the family's 1533-position model. The record is from RNAcentral.